This 114-nucleotide non-coding RNA is filed under the name Acidomyces richmondensis BFW. Its description in RNAcentral is "Eukaryotic small subunit ribosomal RNA". It matches the Rfam family "Eukaryotic small subunit ribosomal RNA", at positions 1 to 114 of the family's 1831-position model. The record is from Rfam by way of RNAcentral. Lineage: Eukaryota; Fungi; Ascomycota; Dothideomycetes; Mycosphaerellales; Teratosphaeriaceae.
UACCUGGUUGAUUCUGCCAGUAGUCAUAUGCUUGUCUCAAAGAUUAAGCCAUGCAAGUCUAAGUAUAAGCAACUAUACGGUGAAACUGACGAAUGGCUCAUUAAAUCAGUUAUU